GAUGAACGCUGGCGGCGUGCUUAACACAUGCAAGUCGAGCGAUGAAGUUUCCUUCGGGAAACGGAUUAGCGGCGGACGGGUGAGUAACACGUGGGUAACCUGCCUCAUAGAGUGGAAUAGCCUUCCGAAAGGAAGAUUAAUACCGCAUAACGUUGAAAGAUGGCAUCAUCAUUCAACCAAAGGAGCAAUCCGCUAUGAGAUGGACCCGCGGCGCAUUAGCUAGUUGGUGGGGUAACGGCCUACCAAGGCGACGAUGCGUAGCCGACCUGAGAGGGUGAUCGGCCACAUUGGGACUGAGACACGGCCCAGACUCCUACGGGAGGCAGCAGUGGGGAAUAUUGCACAAUGGGGGAAACCCUGAUGCAGCAACGCCGCGUGAGUGAUGAAGGUUUUCGGAUCGUAAAACUCUGUCUUUGGGGAAGAUAAUGACGGUACCCAAGGAGGAAGCCACGGCUAACUACGUGCCAGCAGCCGCGGUAAUACGUAGGUGGCGAGCGUUAUCCGGAUUUACUGGGCGUAAAGGGAGCGUAGGCGGAUGAUUAAGUGGGAUGUGAAAUACCCGGGCUCAACUUGGGUGCUGCAUUCCAAACUGGUUAUCUAGAGUGCAGGAGAGGAGAGUGGAAUUCCUAGUGUAGCGGUGAAAUGCGUAGAGAUUAGGAAGAACACCAGUGGCGAAGGCGACUCUCUGGACUGUAACUGACGCUGAGGCUCGAAAGCGUGGGGAGCAAACAGG
RNAcentral lists this ribosomal RNA (733 nucleotides) under uncultured bacterium. RNAcentral's name for it is "bacterial SSU rRNA". It matches the Rfam family "Bacterial small subunit ribosomal RNA", at positions 28 to 776 of the family's 1533-position model. The record is from RNAcentral.